CAGCCGCCACGGUAACACCAGCACCUCGAGUGGUCAGGAGGUUUAUUGGGCCUAAAGCAUCCGCAGCCGGUUGCAUAAGUUUUCGGUUAAAUCUAUGCGCUUAACGUAUAGGCCGCCGAAAAUACUGUGCAGCUAGGGAGUGGGAGAGGUACACGGUACUCGAUAGGAAAGGGUAAAAUCCUUUGAUCUAUUGAUGACCACCUGUGGCGAAGGCGGUGUACCAGAACACGUUCGACGGUGAGGGAUGAAAGCUGGGGGAGCAAACAGGAUUAGAUACCCCCGUAGUCCCUGUCUCUUAUAC
RNAcentral lists this ribosomal RNA (301 nucleotides) under uncultured bacterium. RNAcentral's name for it is "partial 16S ribosomal RNA". It matches the Rfam family "Archaeal small subunit ribosomal RNA", at positions 459 to 760 of the family's 1478-position model. The record is from RNAcentral.